CUUGAAACACGGACCAAGGAGUUUAUCGUGUACGCGAGUCAUUGGGUAAAAUAAACCCAAAGGCGAAAUGAAAGUAAAGAGUGGACAAUUGUUGAAAAAAUUUAUUUUUUCUUCCAAUUUCCCUCGAGGGAAGAUAGAAAGCUAGUGUCUUUGAUGAGUUUUCUUUCGGGUUAAUUUAUCAUUGGCAUCAUAGCUUUCUCGCAUUCCCGGGGCGCUUGUUUCUCGCUUUGCGAGACUAUGCGCACCUAGAGCGUACACGCUGAUACCCGAAAGAUGGUGAACUAUGCCUGGCCAGGACGAAGCCAGGGGAAACCCUGGUGGAGGUCCGCAGCGAUUCUGACGUGCAAAUCGAUCGUCGGAGCUGGGUAUAGGGGCGAAAGACCAAUCGAACCAUCUAGUAGCUGGUUCCCUCUGAAGUUUCCCUCAGGAUA
RNAcentral lists this ribosomal RNA (431 nucleotides) under Kiskeyana palassaina. RNAcentral describes it as "eukaryotic LSU rRNA". It matches the Rfam family "Eukaryotic large subunit ribosomal RNA", at positions 653 to 980 of the family's 3401-position model. Lineage: Eukaryota; Metazoa; Arthropoda; Insecta; Hemiptera; Reduviidae. The record is from RNAcentral.